Hipposideros armiger (great roundleaf bat) is the source of this 5251-nucleotide long non-coding RNA. RefSeq lists it as uncharacterized. Lineage: Eukaryota; Metazoa; Chordata; Mammalia; Chiroptera; Hipposideridae. The transcript is spliced from 3 exons. The record is from RefSeq and is a predicted model, not a curated record.
GUUCCCAAACUUCAUUUUAGAUUUGAUUCCUUGAAACUGUUGUUUGCGCAAUGUUUUUCUUUUAAACAAUUCAUGUAUUUUACUAAAAGGAUAAGCUCGUUUUUUUAAAAAGGUAAAUCUGUGUCAUGACCUUAGAGAGGUUAUCAUAAAAAUAGACAGAAGGAAAUAGAAAGUGGUCAAUUCUAGCCAGGACUGCUGCCUGCUGAGAGUGCUGAGCCUCAGACCCGCUGUUUGGGAAAGGACAGUGGCUGGUGCCAGCCAUGUGUGAGGGUGGGCUGUGGGGAAUGGACCUGCCCUCCUGGAUGUGGCCAGCACAGUGGGAUGAGAAGGGAGGAAGCAGCAGCUCUUGCUCUGUGAUGCAUCGCUGUUUGCAGCCUUGUUCGGACACUGCCUCCAGUGCCUACAUGUCACAGGGGCCCUCCACCUCUGGGGAACACUGGCCUGGGGCCACCCCCGGAGCCUGGGCUCAUGGCCCUUCCCUGUCGGCCCCACCAAACCCAUCUUCACAUUCAAGGGUCUCCCCACCAGGGAUCCUCUGGCAAGGUUCAUCCACAGGCACUAUUUGAAAGGUAGAUCGGGAGCAAACAUCCUAGCCCUGGGAGCACCUGUGCCCAGAGACCCCACCCUGUGCAACCUGCCCACAGGGGCAGGGUUGAGACUUGGGGUACUCAGGGGGGUGAAAGAUCUGGCCCAUACCCCAGGCACUGACACUCUGUGUGUCAGGCUGGGUCUGCCCUCCACGGCUGACUCUUCCUCGUGUGCUGACAGAAUUAGGAGGGGCUGGGAGGAGACCUAAGAGGUCACCCACGGCUGCAGCAGCCUUUGAGAACCAGGCAGCCUGAUAAAGUGCCCUGGAACAUUCUGAACUCAAUAAGUUCUGUCUGGAGAGGAAACAAUUAGAAAGAAAAGAAAGAACCCAAGUCCCAGCGGCUCCCCUGUGGCCCUAUGGGGGACACGCUGCUGCUCAUCAGGGCAUCUGGGGAGGCUCAGAACAGGUGCUUUCAUUUCAUGGCCCAUCACUGUUCUCUGACAUCAUCUUGGGAGGCACCCCAAAAAACUGAAGUGUGCAAGCUGUACUGACACACCUUUGUCUCUGCAGACUCCGGCUGGCUUCAUGGACAACUCACCUUGGGGAAAGUAUGUGUCCUCCUAAGGUCAGAAGAGAAGUGGAGAGAGAGAAGGAAACUUUUUCCUGUUCCUGGGACAGUGCAAGUGCAGGCUGACAGCAGGUACAUGGCUUCACAAAGAAGAGAAGCGUGAAGUCAGAGUGGUCCCAGGAAGAGAUAACUGGGAGUCCAGACUUCCAGGAAGGCGGAGCUUUGUGGGGGAUGAAGGUUGUCAGGUGAGGGGAGGGAAUGGGCCACUGGAAAGGUCUUUGGUAACAAGUCGACAGAUAGUAGAAAACAUGUUUGUCCUCAAAGUCACAAUUCUACCUUUAGAGCAGGAUGUGGCUGGAGCGCUCUGGAGCUCUCCAUGGCCACUUGCUGACUGCUGCCUGGGGCACUUCAUUAGCUUCCCUGAGCCUCAGUUUCCCCUUCUCACAGCACAUAGCUCCAUGCUGGGCACACACAUGCAUAAGGCGUAUGAGCCGUCAUUGUCCUCAGCAGCCAUCAUGGUCCAUUCCACACUGAUCUGCUAGCCUGUGACAGGAACUGAGACGGCGGCCUCGCUGGGCUGGGACCCCGGCCAGCUCUGUACAAAGAGGCCUGCUGACUGGUCUGGGUGACAGUGACCUGCUAAUGGUGAGGAGAUGACUCCGGGCCACAAACAUCCCUGCUGUUCCUCGCUUUGUCUCCCACAGCAAGGUGGCUCUCAGGAGAUGAGGUUUCAAUUCCUUCUUUGUCUUUUUCAGAGUGCCUGCUGCCUUGAGAAGUGGUUACCGGGGAACCUGACUCCACUGCACGCACCCCCGCAUUCUUCCACACGCUGGUGGGCCGGGGAGACUAUCCUGGGAUUACAGAUGCCAAGUUAAUUCACACGGGGUAACACUCAUUCGACAUGCCAGUGCCGGCGGCCCUGCUCCGUGGCAGGGGUGGAACGCUGGGCCUGGGAUAAUAGCCUCAUUCACAAGCGUUGGGGCUUAUUCUGCCGGGGAUGGCUCCGGCUUCAACAUCUGGACAGGCAGAGGCGGCACGUGUUCCCCUUAGAGGCCACCAACGAACUGCUUGGAGAACCUGGGGUUAGACAGUUUGGGGUAGACAAAAAAUGGAGUCUGGACUUCCCUGCCUGGCCAGACAGCUCUGAGCUCUGCGGACACCAUCUGAGGACACCUGGGGCGCCCUAAGUUCCAGGAAAGGUAGACCUGGCAGAGUGCGGAAAAGCCCUUCCUUGCAGUGGCCCCGUGGCACAGGCACUGAGGAGCUAUGGGAAGACGCGAGCCUGGCCCGGCGCCCGCAGAGCCCACCCUGUCCAGACCCAGCGCGGCCCUGUGAGCAGCAUUUGAACGUGACUGUGGGCCUUCUCGUGUGGUCCUUCUGCAUCAUAUCUGCAAAGAGGCAAAUGUCUCUUCCAGCCGGAGGGCAUCCAGGCUGCCCGGGCCUGCCCAGCGCCCGCCCUGCCGGUCUGGGGCAGACUUGGGAUCAGGAGGUCCACUUGGCAUGCCCUCACAUUCCAGGAGGACCUCCCGCUAGGUGAGUCCUUACAGUAGCUUCAAACACAGCGAGGCACGGGCCGGCGGCAGGACCCGCUGGCAAGGCCGGGGGACAGGCCCCGUCAAGCCUUCCUCCCGGCUCCCACGCCCGCCACCCACCUGCAGUGCAUCAUGGAAUCUGUAAAUCCUGUAAUUGCCUGCCUUGUGACGAGCAAGGUAUGUUGCAUUGAGGGUGUUUUGUGUUAAGAACGUUAACCACAUUCAAGUUACCAGCAGUUAUUUUAAGCGUUUCUUCGUGUCUUCCUUUGGUGGGAACUUCAAUGAGCUGAGUGGGCAGGGCCUUUCCCUUGGCACCGUCGCCCUGAAACUGCCGCCUCCUGGGAGCCAGCUGCCCCAGCUGCUACUCAUGGCAGCCGACACCAACAAGCACAGGCCCCUGGAAGGGAAGAUGCAGGCCCCGGGGGAAGGCAUGGCCUCUGUUUCUCCAGGGGAGCGCGUGGUCUGACCUGCACUUGACCUCCAGGUCCCCGACCCUCCCUUGUUCCGUGUGCUUUUCCUGUGUCUCCCACUGGCCUGGGGCUGGAGCCUAACCUCUGCCCCCUCCCCAGGCUCUCUGUCCCCUGCCUAGGCCUGCCCUGCCACUCCAGCCAGGGUGCUCCUUGCACCACAAACACCCCAUAAGUUGUUCCCCCACCCCUGUGCCUUUGCACUUGCAACAUUCUUAAAAUGUCUUCCUUCGCCAACUAUGCACAUCUCAAUCCUGCCUCCUCCAGGAAGUCCUCCAGGACCAUGCCUCCCCUCUCCUCCCUUCUCCUCCGCUCCUGGAAGUGGAGUAUCUGGGCCCCUUGUAGCUCUUCACUGGUUUGUAGGUGCAGGCCAGUCCCUGGCCCCUGCCAGGCUGCAUGUUUUCUGGAGAACCUUCAAGCAACCUGGUCACCCAGCGUCCAACACCCUAGGCCCUGGGUGAGGCAUGAGGAGUGGGAAGGACGGGAAGCAUGCUCACGAGACAUGAUUGCAAGGGCUGCCUCAGUUUCCCCAGCCCUGGGAAACGUCCUGGCCAUCCACAGCCUGGGGUCAGUCCCCAGUGUCCACUCUGCUCAAAGUGGCCUUGUCACGGUCCCAGAAGUGCUACCUGGGAUGGCCCCUCCCUGUUCACUGGGUCACCAGGGCGCUGGUCUGGCUGAGCCAGGUCGGGUGGUGGCCUGAGUCCUCGGUCUACCUUCCUCUCCACCCAUGACCUUUUCAACUUUGAGGGGCAGACUCGGCAGGCGUCCUGGACAACCCUGCUCCACCUGGUCACCGACGAGCUGCACCCCCUCCCCUGGGCAAACUGCCGUCCUGGAAAAUGAGAGGCGAAUCCCCAACCGAGAAACCGACUUCCGGGAGCUUCUAACUCAGAGACAGAGCGUCCAUAAGGCAGUGGCCGGCAUCCCUCCAGUGGUUCUCAAGGGACCGCUGAGUCUGGAGGACCAAGGAGCUCAUCGGGUGUGCGUGGGGACAGCAGACACUGCAGGUAGGGAGAAGACCCCGAGGGAGGUCAGCUGAGACUUUGGGACUUUGCCUAAGGGGGUAUGUGUCCCCAAAGAGCUACGCUCAGGGGCAGAGUGACCAGCCUGGCCCUCUCCAAGCUCCCUGGCUAUGAGUAGGGAGCUGCCUGGCCAAGGCCACUGGAAGGGCUGCUGGGAGAAGUCAGGCAAGAGAGUCCAUGGCAUAAAAGAGGGGUGCCCUGUGGUCCCCUCAAUUCCUUCCUGAGAAGUGUCUGCUGUCUGCAAGGCUGGGAGCCCUGAUGGCCACCAGGACCCUGUCCAGCUUGUGCCAACUUGCUCUGAUCUGGAUAUUCUGGUCCAGUGGGCUGGGCAGGCCCAGGUGAGUUCUCAGAGAAGGUAGGUGACAACACUCAGCUCACUCAAGGGUGAGGAAACCUUUUCAAAGUCUCUGAUCAUGUAGCCAGUGACCCGGGCCUGGCAAGGCUUCUGGGCACUCUCCCAAUUAGCAGAAGUUUUCAUUUCCACCCCAGGGAACAAAUGCCACUUUCUGGGUCAGCGGGAGGCCUGAAUGUUCUCCGAACCCCAGGAACAUGGAGCCCCAGAGGGGACUUGGAGAGCUGGUGCAAUUUCCGGAGCCCAGAUGGCUGGUGCUGUUGCAGGAAGUGGGGUGGCUCGUGGCUUUGUGGGCCCGAGGGUGCCCAUGUCUGCAGGCCCCGCCACCCCUCCUGUGGGCCUCAGCCGGGCUUUCAGCUGCACCCUGCCUGCUCACCCAUCCAUGCCCCUGGCACGUAUUCCUUUGUCUUAAGCAAUCCAUUGGGGUCCAGGGCUGGGUCCUCAGAGGGGGCCCAGGCACCCCCAGAAGUCAAGUGCCCCAGCCUAGCACACUGGAAGCAGCCAGGAGGAGGGAACUUCUCUGCGAGCUGCCGAGCCCAGCAGGACAUCCAGGCUGGGCCCAGGACAUGGUGGCUCUGAGAUGGGCACCCGUCCCGAGGCAGGGGCUAUUUCUGCACAGGCGCCAGCUUCCUGGGGGGCCUCUUGCACCCAGCAGUUAGCCCUACAAUCACCUCCCACGUACAUCACCGUCCUGAGCCAGGCCCAGCCUCAGGCCCUGGCGGUCUCCCAGCAUGGCCUUCAGUCAACCCCCUCCCCCCCGGGAAAGGGCUGGGCUCCCUCC